RNAcentral lists this ribosomal RNA (500 nucleotides) under uncultured bacterium. RNAcentral's name for it is "partial 16S ribosomal RNA". It matches the Rfam family "Bacterial small subunit ribosomal RNA", at positions 30 to 523 of the family's 1533-position model. The record is from RNAcentral.
AUUGAACGCUGGCGGCAGGCCUAACACAUGCAAGUCGAGCGGAUGAGGGGAGCUUGCUCCUCGAUUCAGCGGCGGACGGGUGAGUAAUGCCUAGGAAUCUGCCUAGUAGUGGGGGACAACGUUUCGAAAGGAACGCUAAUACCGCAUACGUCCUACGGGAGAAAGUGGGGGAUCUUCGGACCUCACGCUAUUGGAUGAGCCUAGGUCGGAUUAGCUAGUUGGUAGGGUAACGGCCUACCAAGGCGACGAUCCGUAACUGGUCUGAGAGGAUGAUCAGUCACACUGGAACUGAGACACGGUCCAGACUCCUACGGGAGGCAGCAGUGGGGAAUAUUGGACAAUGGGCGAAAGCCUGAUCCAGCCAUGCCGCGUGUGUGAAGAAGGCCCUCGGGUCGUAAAGCACUUUAAGUUGGGAGGAAGGGCUUACAGCGAAUACCUGUGAGUUUUGACGUUACCGACAGAAUAAGCACCGGCUAACUUCGUGCCAGCCGCCGCCGUAA